AUUGAACGCUGGCGGCAGGCCUAACACAUGCAAGUCGAGCGGCAGCGGGAAAGUAGCUUGCUACUUUUGCCGGCGAGCGGCGGACGGGUGAGUAAUGCCUGGGGAUCUGCCCAGUCGAGGGGGAUAACUACUGGAAACGGUAGCUAAUACCGCAUACGCCCUACGGGGGAAAGCAGGGGACCUUCGGGCCUUGCGCGAUUGGAUGAACCCAGGUGGGAUUAGCUAGUUGGUGAGGUAAUGGCUCACCAAGGCGACGAUCCCUAGCUGGUCUGAGAGGAUGAUCAGCCACACUGGAACUGAGACACGGUCCAGACUCCUACGGGAGGCAGCAGUGGGGAAUAUUGCACAAUGGGGGAAACCCUGAUGCAGCCAUGCCGCGUGUGUGAAGAAGGCCUUCGGGUUGUAAAGCACUUUCAGCGAGGAGGAAAGGUUGGAAGCUAAUAACUGCCAGCUGUGACGUUACUCGCAGAAGAAGCACCGGCUAACUCCGUGCCAGCCGCCGCGGUAA
Molecule: ribosomal RNA, 508 nt
Filed under: uncultured bacterium
Lineage: Bacteria
Description: partial 16S ribosomal RNA
Rfam family: Bacterial small subunit ribosomal RNA
Source: RNAcentral